This 486-nucleotide ribosomal RNA is filed under the name Trichoderma hamatum. Its description in RNAcentral is "eukaryotic LSU rRNA". The stretch from base 87 to 240 matches the Rfam family "5.8S ribosomal RNA". Lineage: Eukaryota; Fungi; Ascomycota; Sordariomycetes; Hypocreales; Hypocreaceae. The record is from RNAcentral.
CGCCGGAGGAACCAACCAAACUCUUUCUGUAGUCCCCUCGCGGACGUAUUUCUUACAGCUCUGAGCAAAAAUUCAAAAUGAAUCAAAACUUUCAACAACGGAUCUCUUGGUUCUGGCAUCGAUGAAGAACGCAGCGAAAUGCGAUAAGUAAUGUGAAUUGCAGAAUUCAGUGAAUCAUCGAAUCUUUGAACGCACAUUGCGCCCGCCAGUAUUCUGGCGGGCAUGCCUGUCCGAGCGUCAUUUCAACCCUCGAACCCCUCCGGGGGAUCGGCGUUGGGGAUCGGGACCCCUCACCGGGUGCCGGCCCUGAAAUACAGUGGCGGUCUCGCCGCAGCCUCUCCUGCGCAGUAGUUUGCACAACUCGCACCGGGAGCGCGGCGCGUCCACGUCCGUAAAACACCCAACUUCUGAAAUGUUGACCUCGGAUCAGGUAGGAAUACCCGCUGAACUUAAGCAUAUCAAUAAGCGGAGGGAAAAAACCAACCC